GAUGAAGAACGCAGCGAAAUGCGAUACGUAAUGUGAAUUGCAGAAUUCAGUGAAUCAUCGAAUCUUUGAACGCAUAUUGCGCUCUUUGGUAUUCCGAAGAGCAUGCUUGUUUGAGUAUCAGUAAACACCUCAACCUCUUCUUGAUUUUUCAAAAGGAGGGUGGACUUGAGCUAUCCCAACAACCUUUACCGGUCGGCGGGCGGCUUGAAAUGCAGGUGCAGCUGGACUUUUAUCUGAGCUAAAAGCAUAUCUAUUUAGUCCUCGUCGAACAGGAUUAUUACUUUUGCUGCAGCUAACAUAAAGGAUAAUUGUCCUCUUUGCUGACUGAUGCAGGAUUUUACGACACUUUAUGUGUUGUUCAACUCGAUCUCAAAUCAAGUAAGACUACCCGCUGAACUUAAGCAUAUCAAUAAGCGGAGGA
This 421-nucleotide unclassified non-coding RNA is filed under the name soil metagenome. RNAcentral describes it as "partial contains 5.8S ribosomal RNA, internal transcribed spacer 2, and large subunit ribosomal RNA". The stretch from base 1 to 120 matches the Rfam family "5.8S ribosomal RNA", at positions 35 to 154 of the family's 154-position model. The record is from RNAcentral.